AGAAAAAGAAAGAAAAGAAAAAGAAAGAAAGAGAAAGAAAGAAAGAAAGAAAGAACUCUGGUCCGCUGGAGGCAAGUGUGAAUGUUGCAACUGGACGACUUGAUUAAUAAUAAUAAUAAUAAUAAUAAUAAUAAUAAUAAUAAUAAUAAUAAUAAGUUCAUUUGUAUCCCGCCUCCAUCUCCCCCGGAGGGGACUCGGGGCAGCUCACAGAAAUAUCAAAUACAAAACAAUAAUAUACAAUACAUCAAUAAACAAUAACAUGCACCAAUUGUAAUAUUUGCACAUUAACCAAAAAGAAUAAAAACACACUUAUUAAAAACACAGAAUUUAAAAACAGUGAGGUUGUAAUAGUAGAAUAGCAAAGUGCACAUCAUAACAUUGAAUGGCUUUGCAGCUUCAAAGCCUGGCUGGUUGCUGCCUUGGGGAAUCCUUUGUUGGGAGGCGUUAACUGGCCCUGAUCGUUUCCUGUCUGGAAUUCCACUGUUUUCACAGACAGGAAACAAUCAGGGCCAGCUAAGACCUCCCAACAAAGGAUUGGACUGGAUGGCCCGUGAGGUCCCUUCCAACUUUAUGACUCUAUGAUUUUAUGAUUCCCUCCUCCUGCAGGAAGCAGCUAGGCUUUGAAGCUGCAAGGCCAUUCAAUGCUAAUCAAGGAGGCCAAUGGCAACAUCCACACCUGCCCCCACCAGGCAAGAGUCCUUUCCUUCUCUGGACCUCCCUUGCCUGGUUUCCAGCAAACCUCACAAGAUGGGAGAUUUCCAGCCUGGAUCACUGAUUCCUGCACCUGCUUCGUCCACCUCAAGAGCCGGAGCUCACCUGUUGUUGGAGGCAAUUCCCAUUCAUUUGGCGCAGGAGACUCAAAGCAGCGAACCCUAAAAACACAUACAACCUGUAGAUUAAAAUCCAAAGCACGCAUGCAAACGUUCAAACAGAAUUAAGCAUUUAUCAGAAGAGCAUGCUGAAAACCAAUAAAACUGAUGAGAAAUGCUGGUGAACAGCCAUUGUGUCCAUUUCCUCCUCGAUUUCCGCCGACUUCCUUUGUCUUGAUGGCUGGCCCUCUCAAUUGCUUCCCUCUAAACUGAUUUUCUGCCCUAAAAAAACCCUCCGUUUUGAACGGCCGGCUGAAGGGAUUCGUCAACGUCCAUCUCAUUACACCAGAAGGCUGAUGGUCUACGAGUAAUUAAUUUAGGCAUAUUAAUGGCAAGAGGAAAACGUGGGAGGAGGAGGAGGAGGAAGAACCGGAUCCUGCAAAACUUGUCCCUGUCAGGGAUGCAAAGUCUGGAUCCCAAGGGGCGUCAAACCGCAUUAACUCUGCAGUGUGGAUGAGCCUUUGCACGACAGAAGAAACCCCAAUGACUUUCCCAAUGGGCAGUCAUCCAAAACCUCUCCUAACAAGGUAAUUGAGCCUUGAAAGUUAAUAUAUUAUCUGUGUUGAUUCAUUGUUUACCAUGCAAAGUGCUUUUUUUCAUGUCAGGAAUGACUAGAGGAACUUCUGGUGUGAGAGAAUUGGCCGUCUGCAAGGAUGUUGCCCAGGGGACGCUGCCUGGAUGUUUUGAUGUUUUGACCAUCUUUGUGGGAGACUUCUCUCAUGUCCCUGCAUGGAGCUGGAGCUGACGGAUGGGAGCUCAUCCACGUUCUCCCCAGGAUGGAUUCGAACUGGCAACUUUCAGGUCAGCAGUUUAACCCACUGUGUCACUGGGGGCCCCGUCCAAAGGGCUGAAUCCUAAUAAGUUUAUUGCUUUGGAUGCAUGCCUUUGAAGGCUUGGUCCAAUACCCGGAGUGGAUUCACUGCUCCAUUGACAUGGAAGCUCCUGCCAAAUAAUGAAUUAUAUAUAUGAGGGUUAUCCAGAAAGUAGAUUACGUUUUGGAAUUAAAAAUGAAGAAAGUAUAGGAGAAAACAUUUACCAUAUGCAGUUGAAAGCUACACCCAAAUAUCACUUCUCAACACAGUCGCCAUUCAAAUCUAGGCAUUUAUCAUAGCGAUGAAUGAGCUAGGCAACUCCUUCCCCACAAAACUCUGCCGCUUGCGCCUUCAAAACGUAUAGGAGAAAACAUUUACCAUAUGCAGUUGAAAGCCACACCCAAAUACCACUUCUCAACAUAGUCACCAUUCAAAUCUAGGCACUUAUCAUAGCGAUUAAUGAGCUAGGCAACUCCUUCCCCACAAAACUCUGCCGCUUGCGCCUUCAAAACGUAUAGGAGAAAACAUUUACCAUAUGCAGUUGAAAGCCACACCCAAAUACC
Long non-coding RNA from Anolis carolinensis (green anole), 2244 nucleotides. RefSeq lists it as uncharacterized. The record is from RefSeq and is a predicted model, not a curated record. NCBI's taxonomy places the organism in Eukaryota, Metazoa, Chordata, Lepidosauria, Squamata, Anolidae. The transcript is spliced from 3 exons.